CCUACGAGAGGCAGCAGUGAGGAAUAUUGGUCAAUGGACGAGAGUCUGAACCCGCCAAGUAGCGUGAAGGAUGACUGCCCUAUGGGUUGUCACCUUCUUUUAUAUGGGAAUAAAACGUUCCACGUGUGGGAUUUUGUAUGUACCAUAUGAAUAAGGAUAGGCUAACUCCGUGCCAGCAGCCGCGGUAAUACGGUGGAUCCGAGCGUUAUCCGGAUUUAGUGGGUUUAAAGGGAGCGUAGGUGGUUUGUUAAGUCAUUUGUGAAAGUUUGCGGCUCAACCGUAAAAUUGCAGUUGAAACUGGCAGUCUUGAGUACAGUAGAGGUGGGCGGAAUUCGUGGUGUAGCGGUGAAAUGCUUAGAUAUCCGAAGAACGCCGAUUGCGAAGGCAGCUCACUGGACUGCAACUGACACUGAGGCUCGAAAGUGUGGGUAUCAAACAGGAUUAGAUACCCCCGUAGUC
Molecule: ribosomal RNA, 459 nt
Filed under: uncultured bacterium
Lineage: Bacteria
Description: partial 16S ribosomal RNA
Rfam family: Bacterial small subunit ribosomal RNA
Source: RNAcentral